UGCGGAUGUGGCGGAAUCGGCAGACGCGCUAGAUUCAGGUUCUAGUGGUGGCAACACCGUAUGGGUUCAAGUCCCUUCAUCCGCAUC
RNAcentral lists this transfer RNA (87 nucleotides) under Weizmannia acidilactici. RNAcentral's name for it is "tRNA-Leu". It matches the Rfam family "tRNA". Rfam says of the family: Transfer RNA (tRNA) molecules are approximately 80 nucleotides in length. Their secondary structure includes four short double-helical elements and three loops (D, anti-codon, and T loops). The record is from RNAcentral. Lineage: Bacteria; Bacillati; Bacillota; Bacilli; Caryophanales; Bacillaceae.